RNAcentral lists this non-coding RNA (261 nucleotides) under Paenibacillus sp. Its description in RNAcentral is "T-box sequence". It matches the Rfam family "T-box leader". Rfam says of the family: Uncharged tRNA acts as the effector for transcription antitermination of genes in the T-box leader family. T-boxes are found upstream of many aminoacyl-tRNA synthetase genes and some amino acid biosynthetic genes usually in Gram-positive bacteria. The record is from RNAcentral. Lineage: Bacteria; Bacillati; Bacillota; Bacilli; Caryophanales; Paenibacillaceae.
UGAAUUCCGAGGAACGGAUGAGUAAAUCGGUACGCCCAUUACAGAGAGCCGGAACGAGCUGAAAGCCGGUAUGGAGCGUUUGAUUGAAUAUGGUCCGGGAGGAACUGUGUUCGAGCGGGAACUGCAAUUGAGGUUCACGUAAGAUAACGGCGUGUUCCAGCGUUAAUGGACAGUUCCCGAGAGGGAACUGGCGAAGCCUGAUCUCUGUGAAGAGACAGGAAAUUUGGGUGGUAUCGCGUGAGUUAUACUCUCGCCCCAUUA